GUCCCGAGCGCUGCAGCCAGCCAGCCCGGGACGGUCCCGUCAGCCUCCAGCCCAGUCCCCUCGCUCUCCCAGCCAACGAGACUCCUCCCCGCCCCUGUCCCGAGUGCCAUUUCCAGCUCCCGAGGUCGGCUCGCCCCGGGCCGCUCCGGGAAGUGGAUCCUCAGCGGACCACAGGGAAGACAGGGCGACUCCCAGCAAAGGCGGCCCCCCCACUCCUCUCCUCCGGACCCCCGCAGGUACAGCCCACGCCCCUCGGGUCCCCGUCCCCUCCCUCCCAGCACAGCCUACCAUCCUGCAGCCUCCGGCCCGGCACGUCCCUCUCCGGCCACCGUAGGCGCCAGCUCCACUCCCCGUCGGAUUCUUUUCUUUGCCCUCCCUCUCCGCCUGAAGCCCCGCCCCGCCCGGCCUCGCCGGCUCCCUCGAGCGGCCGCACGGCGCAGGCGCCAACGCUGCCCUCGCUGCACCCCCCCCCCCCCCCCCCCCCCCCCCCCCGUCCCAUCCCACCCGGCGCGCGGGCGGGGCUGGAGGCGGAGAAGCGGAAACCAUGGCAACCAGGUCCUUGACUUCGGCUUUGCAGAAGCUCGGUCGUCAUGGUAACAAGGCUGUCUCGCCUUCGAAGGCAGAGACAGGAGCAGCUUGUAGCCCACGCUCAGGCUCAGCUAAGUGGCGUGGUCGAGACCACCCAAGGCUACAAGCCCGUCUCAAGCAAAGUGAAACCAAACAGUGCUGCUGGGAUGGCUCCGAUCAUCCAGGUGGUCCCCCAAACCCAAGAAUCCUUCAGCAGAAUAUGCGGUAUUUGAACAUGAGCACUGUGCUCAAUCUGACAACCAAGAUGACCACUUAGUACUUAAUGUACGAUGUUUCUCUGUGGAGCCCUGGCUGUC
This is a long non-coding RNA of Onychomys torridus (southern grasshopper mouse), 884 nucleotides long. RefSeq lists it as uncharacterized. The record is from RefSeq and is a predicted model, not a curated record. Lineage: Eukaryota; Metazoa; Chordata; Mammalia; Rodentia; Cricetidae. The transcript is spliced from 4 exons.